This 5979-nucleotide small RNA is filed under the name Pan troglodytes (chimpanzee). Its description in RNAcentral is "retained intron". The record is from RNAcentral. Lineage: Eukaryota; Metazoa; Chordata; Mammalia; Primates; Hominidae.
GGGCUCUGGCCGCCUGGCUCCAACAUCAAGCACCGGGCUCCGAGUGGCCGGGAUCAGCGCCCCGAGGCAGAGGCCGGAGGGCGCGCGCACUGCUAGGAAGUGCUGGUCCCCCGCGCCGCUCUGCCUGCUUGGUCCCCCGGCAGACGCCCCUGCACGAUCGCCGCUCGCCCCGCGGGCGAGGCUGCGGUGGACAGCGCGGGGCUCCGGCUGGCUCGCCUUCCCGCCUGCCGUGUCCUGCUGAGCGACCCUGGAGUACACAUCCAGAUGCCAGCCCAGCUACCACAGGGGAUCCCUCUGGGAGACUGAAAGUACAGGUUCUGGGGCCCAGGUUGAGGCCGACCAACCCUGAGCCUCAGGCCAGGGGAAUGGCAGCCCCCUUGGAGGCCCAGGACCAGGCCCCUGGGGAGGGAGAAGGGCUUCUCAUUGUGAAAGUGGAAGACUCCUCCUGGGAACAGGAAUCUGCCCAGCAUGAGGAUGGCAGGGAUUCCGAAGCCUGCCGCCAGCGCUUCCGGCAAUUCUGCUACGGGGAUGUGCAUGGGCCUCAUGAGGCCUUCAGCCAGCUCUGGGAGCUCUGCUGCCGCUGGCUGCGGCCCGAGCUGCGUACCAAGGAGCAGAUCCUGGAGCUGCUGGUGCUGGAGCAGUUCCUGACAGUGCUGCCAGGGGAGAUCCAGGGCUGGGUGCGUGAGCAGCACCCGGGAAACGGUGAGGAGGCUGUCGCCUUGGUGGAGGACCUACAGAAGCAGCCAGUGAAAGCCUGGCGACAGGUGAGGGGCCCUUCCACAUCCAGGGGCAGCUGGAUGGUAUCUGAGCUCGAGAGAAGUGGGUAACCUGCAGAGAUAAGUCUCCCAGAGGCUCACAGGGUAGGGGAGACACAGACCCCCCAGGAGCAGGCACACAAGCACAGUGUGCCAUGGGUGCCUUUCUGAAAGAUGCAAUCCAAAGUAAAUGUGAUUUAUUUUUUGUGGCUUUGGAAGGCAGCAAUAGGGCUGAAGUGCGAAUGUUCCAGACAGGAGGUUUUAGCUCCAUGCAGGGUCUGCUGAUGUUUAUUUGCAUUUUGCUCUAGGCCUGGCUCUGGGGACACAAGGGUGUGCAUAGAGCCAGCUCCAGAGUGGGGCGAGAAGGUGGAGCUGUCCGGGGCCCCUGCUACCUUGUGGGAUGUUGGCUCCUUCACAUUGGAUGCAUCUGGGGAGGUUCUAAUGAGUGGCUGGGGGAUGGGGUUCUGCCUUUGGCAGGAGGGUCCCCAGCUACCCGCUUGCUAAGUGGCUGUGAUUCUGGCCUUUCAGGGCUGGUUCUUGCCUCGUGAAUGAUCGGGGAGCAUCCUUGGGCACACAGCAUUACCUGGUAUCACAUUCUCCUCCGGACUUUUCCUGGGGCACCAUAUUGGUCUCCUUCCCACACCCCAGCAUCCUGAGGGUCAUGUCCUGUGUCUCCUUCCCAGGGAGUAAACUCUGUCUCCCCCGGUCUGGUCUCGGGCUGAUGAGCAUGUUGUGGUUCCUGCACAGGAUGUGCCCUCGGAGGAGGCGGAACCCGAGGCUGCAGGCCGGGGAUCCCAGGCCACGGGGCCUCCCCCAACGGUGGGGGCACGGAGGCAGCCGUCUGUUCCCCAGGAGCAGCACAGCCAUAGCGGUGAGUAAGCCUCCGUUCUUGUGGACAGUCGAGUGGCUGGGCAGGGACCUAGCUUUGUCACCGGCGUUGCCCUAAGGGUCACAGGCAGGACAGCUCCCUCUGUGAAGUCCAGGGCGUGUGUGCAUGCGCACAGGCUGGGGAGGCCAUAGGCGUCGGUGUCAAGCCUGGGCUGGCCUUUCUAAGGCUCCAUUCUUCUCCUUCAGCCCAGCCUCCUGCUCUUCUUCAAGAGGGGCAUCCCGGAGAGACGACGGACACCUGCUUUGUCUCUGGGGUCCAUGUGAGUCACCAGUCCCUUUGUCUUCUUUAAGGCACUUGGCCCUGUUGAGUUUGUAAAAUGGGACUUGCUGUCCCAUCAGGCCUCUUUCAUCUGACCCAUCCUGUCCCCGCCAGUGCUGCUGGGAGGCCUGAGCAAGGGAGGCCUGAGCCGGGUCUUCUCACCCCAUUCCAGGGACCUGUGGCAUUGGGAGACAUCCCAUUCUAUUUCUCCCGGGAAGAAUGGGGCACCCUGGACCCUGCUCAGCGGGAUCUCUUCUGGGGCAUAAAGCGGGAGAACUCCCGGAACACCACCCUGGGUAAGCACCCAGGGCCUUUGGGUCCAGGCUGGCCGCCCCCGAUUCUGCUGGAACUUCAGUCUUGUUUCCCACCCCAUCCUUAGCUGGUUCCAAAGCAGGCUCUCCCUAGGUCUUGCCAGGAGCCUGAGUAACUCCUUUCUUGGCUGAUGAUCAGUUUUUGUGUGUUUCCACACGCAGCAUGGGACGGCGUCGGCACUGCCCAGCCCUGCUGUUGCUCUAAGGGCAACUUCUCCUUUGAGUCUGACAACCUAGUGCAUGGAAGUAUUGUCCCCAUUUUACACAUAAGGGACCUGAGACUCAGGUCAGUGGAUGCUGAAGGGACACAGCUGGGACUUGGAUCAGGCAUAGUUGUGAGGCCACCUUGGGCUGCUAGGAGCAGGGGUGCUGACGGGGAACCCCAGCUGCUCACCAGCCUGGGCCCCUGCUCGUCAGAACUGCACUUACCAGGUUCCUCUCCAUGCCAGGCCCCUUCUCAGCACCAUCAGGGAUCAUCUUGUUCAGUCCACACUCCCAGCAGGAUGGGCUGCGACCUCUGUCCAGAUCUGUCCAGAUCUGUGUUGAGUUUGGAGAACUAGAGCCUGCGUGGUGAAGGGAGCCACACUAGCUAGACCAGUUUGGCUCCUCAGUUUCCGACUGUGACAGUUGGGAAAAUUUUUCUUUCUUUCUUUUUUUUGAGAUGGAGUCUUGCUCUGUCGCCAGGCCGGAAUGCAGUGGUGUGAUCUCAGCUCACUGAAACUUCCACCUCCCGGGUUCAAGCAAUUCUCCUGCCUCAGCCUGAGUAGCUGGGAUUACAGGCAUGAGCCACCAUGCCCGGCUAUUUUUUAAAUAUUUUUAAUAGAGACGAGUUUUCACCAUGUUGGUCAGGCUGGUCUCGAACUCCUGACUUCAUGAUCCACCUGCCUCGGCCUCCCAAAGUGCUGGGAUUACAGGCGUGAGCCACCGCGCCCGGCCCUUGAAAAGUUUCAAAAUUACUAUAAAUCUGUUCUGCUGUGGAGCUUGAUAUCUGGGGUUCAGAGUGGGACAUUGGAUCCCAGUGUGGCCUGCAGGGCACAGAUGGCUUAGGGGGCUGGCCCAUGCAGGCGGGAUCAGAGGCUUAUUCAGACUGCUGCUCUGCCGAAUUUUUUCAUCAUCCCUGAUUUAUUUGGGUUUUUGUUUGUUUUUGAGACAAAGUCUCGCUCUUGGAGUGCAAUGGCAUGAUCCCGGCUUACUGCAACCUCCACUUCCUGGGUUCAAGUGAUUCUUCUGCCUCAGCCUCCUGAGUAGCUGGGAUUACAGAUGUGCGCCACCAUGCCCUGCUGAUUUUUGCAUUUUUUAAUAGAGACGGGGUUUCGCCAUGUUGGCUAGGCUGGUCUCGAACUCCUAACCUCAGGUGAUCAGCUCGCCUCAGCCUCCCAAAAUGUUGGGAUUACAGGCUUGAGUCACUGCGCCUGGCCAAUCAUCCCUGUUUUAUAGAUGAGGAACCUGAGAAUUCAGCUGUGUGAACCCAGGGCUUUCUGAACCUGGAGGCCAGGGAGCUUUCCCCAGCCUUGUUUCUUCCUCACCUCAGCUCUGGCCCCAGAACCGAGUGGGACUGAAGAGGUCGCCUCCUUCCCCUUGCAGGUUUUGGGCUCAAAGGCCAAAGUGAGAAGUCCCUGCUGCAGGAGAUGGUGCCGGUGGUGCCAGGCCAGACAGGCAGCGACGUGACUGUGUCCUGGAGCCCCGAGGAGGCUGAGGCCUGGGAGAGCGAGAACCGGCCGAGGGCGGCCCUGGGCCCAGUGGUGGGCGCGCGACGGGGGCGGCCACCCACUCGCCGGCGCCAGUUCCGGGACCUGGCAGCCGAGAAGCCGCACAGCUGCGGGCAGUGUGGAAAGCGCUUCCGCUGGGGCUCGGACCUGGCGCGGCACCAGCGCACGCACACGGGCGAGAAGCCACACAAGUGCCCUGAGUGCGACAAGAGCUUCCGCAGCUCCUCGGACCUGGUGCGCCACCAAGGCGUGCACACGGGCGAGAAGCCCUUCUCCUGUUCCGAGUGCGGCAAGAGCUUCAGCCGCAGCGCCUACCUGGCCGACCACCAGCGCAUCCACACGGGCGAGAAGCCUUUCGGCUGCAGCGACUGCGGCAAGAGCUUCUCGCUGCGCUCCUACCUGCUGGACCAUCGGCGUGUGCACACCGGUGAGCGGCCCUUCGGCUGCGGAGAGUGCGACAAGAGCUUCAAGCAGCGCGCGCACCUCAUCGCGCAUCAGAGCCUGCACGCCAAGAUGGCCCAGCCCGUGGGGUGAGCAGCUGGCUUGGCCGGAAACCCGGGGGAGGCCCAGCCACGGCACAUCCUGCUUUGUUCACCACUGGGACUCUCCUUCCAUCUGUGGCCACCUCCCGGGCUGUCCGAGGGACCCCAGGGUACCUCACACUCGGAGCUCGCCUGCCCUGCUUGGCUCUGAGGACUGCCCAGCACUCAAAGAGAACGGAAGCCUUCCCCUCCCGCCCCCGAUCUUGUCCUCUUUCCCCCUUCUGCGCCUAGCGUUCCUCUUCCCCUCUAGUUUCCUGGAGCCCCAACACAUUCCUGGCAGGGACAGCAGGGUGGCAAGGACUCAGGUCUAGGUCCCUUCCCAGAAGCCCCCGAGCCUCAUUUGACUGUGUGGCUCUUUGGCCCCCGCCCUGUGGGGUGGGUCCAUGGGUCAGGCCUCUGCCCUACCAACCUGUGCCUUUCAGUGGGCGUGGAGGACUGGCCUUGGCCCCCCAGGGGGCUGCUGGACUUUGGGAGAGACAGCCCACACCUGUGGGACCGCGGGUCUUAGUCACGGCGGCAGGGGCUUUCUGGCCCCCUCCCACUCCCGUUUCCAGGCCAUGACCACUCUGCCCUGUCCUGGCCAUACGGACUCGGCCUGCCUUUGCCCUCGGCCUACUUGCCCUAGCAUGAGGCUCUGAGAGCCACCUGCCCACCAAUCUGGUGAGGAUAAUGGUGGCUCCAGCGACAGGAGGCCAACCCUGGAGACCAAGAACAGGGCGCCUGGCUGCCAUCUUUUCCUCCAGAGGUGGGGCUGCACCAGACUCAGCACUAGCACUCCAUCAGCACUAGCACCCCACUCCAUCGGCACUAACGCCCCACUCCAUCGGCCCCGGCACCCUGCUCCAUCAGCACUGGCGCCCUGCUCCAUCGGCACUGGCGCCCUGCUCCAUCGGCACUAACGCCCCACUCGGCGCCCCACUCCAUCGGCCCCACUCCAUCGGCACUAAUGCCCCACUCGGCGCCCCGCUCCAUCAGCACUAAUGCUCCACUCCAUCAGCACUAACGCACCCACUCCAUUGGCACUAACGCCCCAACUCCAGCGGCACUAAUGACCCGCUCCUUUGACAUUGGUGCCCCACUCCAUCAGCACUAACGCCCUGCUCCAUCGGCACUGGUGUCCCACUCCAUUGUCACUAACGUCCAGCUCCAUCAGCACUACCACCCCGCUCCAUCAUCACUACGUCCAGCUCCGUCGGCACUACCACCCUGCUCCAUCAUCACUACGUCCAGCUCCAACGGCACUGGCGCCCCAUUUCAUCGGCACUAACGCCCCGCUCCAUCUGCACCGGCGCCCCGCUCCACCGGCACCAGCGCCUCGCUCCAUUGGCACUAACGCCCAGCUCCACCAGCACUGGCUCCCCGCUCCAUCGGCACUAACGCCCCGCUUCAUUGGCACUUUGCUGCUGCCUCCUGAGCACUGCCUUCCAUGAACAGGGACAGACCAGAGGCCCUGCAAGGACUCCCCCACAGACCUCCAAAGGGCAACAGAAGAGUAUUAAUAAACGUGAAAACUUA